RNAcentral lists this ribosomal RNA (950 nucleotides) under Flavobacterium sp. SG48. Its description in RNAcentral is "bacterial SSU rRNA". It matches the Rfam family "Bacterial small subunit ribosomal RNA", at positions 97 to 1053 of the family's 1533-position model. The record is from RNAcentral. Lineage: Bacteria; Pseudomonadati; Bacteroidota; Flavobacteriia; Flavobacteriales; Flavobacteriaceae.
GGCGCACGGGUGCGUAACGCGUAUGCAAUCUGCCUUCCACAGAGGGAUAGCCCAGAGAAAUUUGGAUUAAUACCUCAUAGCAUCAUGACCCGGCAUCGGGAUAUGAUUAAAGUCACAACGGUGGAAGAUGAGCAUGCGUCCCAUUAGCUAGUUGGUAAGGUAACGGCUUACCAAGGCUACGAUGGGUAGGGGUCCUGAGAGGGAGAUCCCCCACACUGGUACUGAGACACGGACCAGACUCCUACGGGAGGCAGCAGUGAGGAAUAUUGGUCAAUGGGCGCAAGCCUGAACCAGCCAUGCCGCGUGCAGGAUGACGGUCCUAUGGAUUGUAAACUGCUUUUGUACGGGAAGAAACCCUCCUACGUGUAGGAGCUUGACGGUACCGUAAGAAUAAGGAUCGGCUAACUCCGUGCCAGCAGCCGCGGUAAUACGGAGGAUCCAAGCGUUAUCCGGAAUCAUUGGGUUUAAAGGGUCUGUAGGCGGUCUUGUAAGUCAGUGGUGAAAGCCCAUCGCUCAACGGUGGAACGGCCAUUGAUACUGCUGGACUUGAAUUAUUGGGAAGCAACUAGAAUAUGUAGUGUAGCGGUGAAAUGCUUAGAGAUUACAUGGAAUACCAAUUGCGAAGGCAGGUUGCUACCAAUGGAUUGACGCUGAUGGACGAAAGCGUGGGUAGCGAACAGGAUUAGAUACCCUGGUAGUCCACGCCGUAAACGAUGGAUACUAGCUGUUGGGCGCAAGUUCAGUGGCUAAGCGAAAGUGAUAAGUAUCCCACCUGGGGAGUACGAACGCAAGUUUGAAACUCAAAGGAAUUGACGGGGGCCCGCACAAGCGGUGGAGCAUGUGGUUUAAUUCGAUGAUACGCGAGGAACCUUACCAAGGCUUAAAUGCAGACUGACCGGUUUGGAAACAGACCUUUCGCAAGACGGUCUACAAGGUGCUGCAUGGUUGUC